This 73-nucleotide transfer RNA is filed under the name Lepidosiren paradoxa (South American lungfish). Its description in RNAcentral is "tRNA-Asn". It matches the Rfam family "tRNA". From Rfam's summary of the family: Transfer RNA (tRNA) molecules are approximately 80 nucleotides in length. Their secondary structure includes four short double-helical elements and three loops (D, anti-codon, and T loops). Lineage: Eukaryota; Metazoa; Chordata; Ceratodontiformes; Lepidosirenidae. The record is from RNAcentral.
UAGGUGAAUGUUUGUUGGAUAGAACGCUUAGCUGUUAACUAAGAGGUUGUGGGAUCGAGUCCCUCUCACCUAG